Non-coding RNA from Mycena maculata, 85 nucleotides. The record is from the annotation of a GenBank genome assembly. Lineage: Eukaryota; Fungi; Basidiomycota; Agaricomycetes; Agaricales; Mycenaceae.
GCGUCCUUAGUGUAGUGGUAACACAGUCCCCCAACCUUCCUUUGGAAUUCCCAGGACAUCCGUGGUUCGAUUCCCCGAGGACGCC